This 354-nucleotide ribosomal RNA is filed under the name Bacillus cereus. RNAcentral's name for it is "bacterial SSU rRNA". It matches the Rfam family "Bacterial small subunit ribosomal RNA", at positions 73 to 418 of the family's 1533-position model. Lineage: Bacteria; Bacillati; Bacillota; Bacilli; Caryophanales; Bacillaceae. The record is from RNAcentral.
UAAGAGCUUGCUCUUAUGAAGUUAGCGGCGGACGGGUGAGUAACACGUGGGUAACCUGCCCAUAAGACUGGGAUAACUCCGGGAAACCGGGGCUAAUACCGGAUAACAUUUUGAACCGCAUGGUUCGAAAUUGAAAGGCGGCUUCGGCUGUCACUUAUGGAUGGACCCGCGUCGCAUUAGCUAGUUGGUGAGGUAACGGCUCACCAAGGCAACGAUGCGUAGCCGACCUGAGAGGGUGAUCGGCCACACUGGGACUGAGACACGGCCCAGACUCCUACGGGAGGCAGCAGUAGGGAAUCUUCCGCAAUGGACGAAAGUCUGACGGAGCAACGCCGCGUGAGUGAUGAAGGCUUU